This 301-nucleotide ribosomal RNA is filed under the name uncultured bacterium. Its description in RNAcentral is "partial 16S ribosomal RNA". It matches the Rfam family "Bacterial small subunit ribosomal RNA", at positions 509 to 807 of the family's 1533-position model. The record is from RNAcentral.
CAGCCGCCGCGGUAAUACGAGGGGUGCAAGCGUUAUUCGGAUUGAUUGGGUGUAAAGGGUGUGCAGACGGCUUAUUAAGUCACUUGUUAAAUUCUUCGGCCUAACUGAAGGUCUGCAAGUGAUACUGAUGAGCUAGAGGGUGGAAGAGAGAAGUGGAAUUCUCGGAGUAGCGGUAAAAUGCGUAGAUCUCGAGAGGAACACCAAUGGCAAUGGCGACUCUCUGGUCUGUAACUGACGCUGAGGAGCGAAAGCGUGGGGAGCGAACAGGAUUAGAUACCCCGGUAGUCCCUGUCUCUUAUAC